Molecule: ribosomal RNA, 306 nt
Filed under: uncultured bacterium
Lineage: Bacteria
Description: partial 16S ribosomal RNA
Rfam family: Bacterial small subunit ribosomal RNA
Source: RNAcentral
GACAGCAGCCGCCGCGGGAAUACGUAGGUGGCAAGCGUUGUCCGGAAUUAUUGGGCGGAAAGGGCUCGCAGGCGGUUUCUUAAGUCUGAUGUGAAAGCCCCCGGCUCAACCGGGGAGGGUCAUUGGAAACUGGGAAACUUGAGUGCAGAAGAGGAGAGUGGAAUUCCACGUGUAGCGGUGAAAUGCGUAGAGAUGUGGAGGAACACCAGUGGCGAAGGCGACUCUCUGGUCUGUAACUGACGCUGAGGAGCGAAAGCGUGGGGAGCGAACAGGAUUAGAUACCCCCGUAGUCCCUGUCUCUUAUAC